This 111-nucleotide small RNA is filed under the name Chelativorans sp. BNC1. RNAcentral's name for it is "EcpR1". It matches the Rfam family "EcpR1". From Rfam's summary of the family: Perviously named SmelC291, SmrC10, or Sra33. Lineage: Bacteria; Pseudomonadati; Pseudomonadota; Alphaproteobacteria; Hyphomicrobiales; Phyllobacteriaceae. The record is from Rfam by way of RNAcentral.
AUACCCCAUGAUGCUCAGGUCCGCCGCAUCUCCUGGGUCCGUGGGGUUGGCCGGUUGGUGCUGGUGUUAGUGGCCUCCUCGUACCGCAGCCAGUUGCCAGCCGGCCCCCAA